This 713-nucleotide ribosomal RNA is filed under the name Metapochonia rubescens. RNAcentral's name for it is "LSU rRNA". It matches the Rfam family "Eukaryotic large subunit ribosomal RNA", at positions 138 to 879 of the family's 3401-position model. The record is from RNAcentral. Lineage: Eukaryota; Fungi; Ascomycota; Sordariomycetes; Hypocreales; Clavicipitaceae.
CCGAGUUGUAAUUUGCAGAGGAUGAUUUUGGCGAGGUGCCUUCCGAGUUCCCUGGAACGGGACGCCACAGAGGGUGAGAGCCCCGUCUGGUUGGACGCCGAGCCUAUGUAAAUCUCCUUCGACGAGUCGAGUAGUUUGGGAAUGCUGCUCUAAAUGGGAGGUAUAUGUCUUCUAAAGCUAAAUAUUGGCCAGAGACCGAUAGCGCACAAGUAGAGUGAUCGAAAGAUGAAAAGCACUUUGAAAAGAGGGUUAAAUAGUACGUGAAAUUGUUGAAAGGGAAGCGCUCAUGACCAGACUUGGGCCCGGUGAAUCAUCCAGCGUUCUCGCUGGUGCACUUUGCCGGGCUCAGGCCAGCAUCAGUUUGCCCCGGGGGAUAAAGGCUUUGGGAAUGUGGCUCCUCCGGGAGUGUUAUAGCCCAUUGCACAAUAUCCUGGGGUGGACUGAGGUUCGCGCAUCUGCAAGGAUGCUGGCGUAAUGGUCAUCAGCGACCCGUCUUGAAACACGGACCAAGGAGUCGUCUUCGUAUGCGAGUGUUCGGGUGUAAAACCCCUACGCGUAAUGAAAGUGAACGCAGGUGAGAGCUUCGGCGCAUCAUCGACCGAUCCUGAUGUUCUCGGAUGGAUUUGAGUAAGAGCAUACGGGGCCGGACCCGAAAGAAGGUGAACUAUGCCUGUAUAGGGUGAAGCCAGAGGAAACUCUGGUGGAGGCUCGCA